AAACCAGCACCUCAAGUGGUCAGGAUGAUUAUUGGGCCUAAAGCAUCCGUAGCCGGCUCUGUAAGUUUUCGGAUAAAUCUGUACGCUUAACGUACAGGCUGCCGGGAAUACUGCAGAGCUAGGGAGUGGGAGAGGUAGACGGUACUCGGGAGGAAGUGGUAAAAUGCUUUGAUCUCUCGAUGACCACCUGUGGCGAAGGCGGUCUACCAGAACACGUCCGACGGUGAGGGAUGAAAGCUGGGGGAGCAAACCGGAUUAGAAACCCUAGUAGUCC
Molecule: ribosomal RNA, 274 nt
Filed under: uncultured bacterium
Lineage: Bacteria
Description: partial 16S ribosomal RNA
Rfam family: Archaeal small subunit ribosomal RNA
Source: RNAcentral